Oryza sativa Indica Group (long-grained rice) is the source of this 209-nucleotide microRNA precursor. It matches the Rfam family "MIR812 microRNA precursor family". The record is from Rfam. NCBI's taxonomy places the organism in Eukaryota, Viridiplantae, Streptophyta, Magnoliopsida, Poales, Poaceae.
AAUAAGUGUAGUUUUGCACUAUUUACGUUCAACGUUUGACCGUCCAUCUUAUUUAAAAAUUUUUUAUGAUUAGUAUUUUUAUUGCUAUUAGAUGAUAAAACAUGAAUAGUACUUUAUAUGUGACUAAAUGUUUUUAAUUUUUUCACAAAUUUUUCAAAUAAAACGGACGGUCAAACGUUGAACGUGAAUAGUGCAAAACUGCAUCUUUU